GAUCUUUGUUCUCUGGGUUCAGUUUCUCACAGGUUUGUUUCCAUGAAUCAUGGACUCUCCCUCAUGCAGGUUUGUCGGACGCGGCUGCUUAUUGUUUAUACAUCAACAGAGUGUUGGCGGCUUUUCUACACAGCAAAGCAGAUCCGUCAGAGCUGGGAUAUGAAAUUGGAACGCCGCUGUAUCUCGGGCUGACGGGAAGUUUCCUGGUGUUCCUCGGCUGCGGCGUUCACUGUGCAACUGUCUGCAGAGGAAACAAUCCAGAAAGCGAACAUCUCGUGGUUUCCCUGAUGAGAGAAAAGGACGAGUUCACAGGAAAAAACCCACCAAAGAAUAAAGACUCCCGGAGCGUGUGUGUGUACGAGGUGACUUCUGU
This is a non-coding RNA of Paralichthys olivaceus (Japanese flounder), 373 nucleotides long. The record is from RefSeq and is a predicted model, not a curated record. Lineage: Eukaryota; Metazoa; Chordata; Actinopteri; Pleuronectiformes; Paralichthyidae.